ACUACAACCAGAGAUGGUUCAACACUUGAAGGUACAGCUUGCCGGGAUGGAACCCCUCUUCCACGAGACCUUUCUUAGCAUCCUCUAAAUUUAUUUGCCUGCAUACUUCCAACCGUAGUGAUAUGUGCAUAUUUGUGAUGAUGAGGUGUUGCUUUUGGGUUGAUCUGUUGGUCAUGUGCAUAUCUAUGAUGAUGAAGUAAGUGCUUCUUUGUGUUAAUCAGUAGGUCAUGUGUGUGAUGACGAAAUGAUAUGUAGGUUUGGUUUGAACUUGCUGGAAAAAAAAUGUUGGCUUUUGGGUACAAAUUAUGCUACUGAUCUUAUUGUUGGCUUUAGUACGUGGUGACCAACCUUGUGGAUUUAGUUGUAAUUAUGAUGGGAUUGUUUUGUUGCAAUUAUUCUAUGACAUUAACUACUUUGAUGUUGGAUUAUGACGAACGCACAUUGCAAUUUAACAGGCAGCCAAAACCAUUGUUGUAAAACGGAAGUGCAGUUUUCUCUCUAAAGAUGUUGUUAAUAGACUUGUGAACAUGUGUGCUCCCUUCUGAAUUUUUCUCUUUAAUACAACACAUAGAAUACAAUGACAAAACUAGGUCUCGCUGAUAUUCUUAAACAAGAACACAUAUGUAAAUUUUGAAGCACUAGAGAACACAUAGGGAUCACAUAGGCAUCACACUAGUAGCAAACACCUUUGUACAUGCAACAUAGUAGUAGCAAACACAUUUGUACAUGCAACGCACUAGCAGGAAACAUCUUUGUUCCUACAGAACACAAUAUCAGCAAACACCUUUGUACAUGCAGCACUGCAUUUAGCAAAAUGUCGAGUUCUAAACACUAAGAAACUAGGCAUUUAGGGACUCCAUCACACUCUUAUAUAUUUAACGGUCACAAUUUAGGCUCUUUGGAAGCAUGCCUAGGGCCUCCAGCCUAUCGUUGUUAAUGUGAGGGAUCUUGUAUUUGUUCCCUCCAUUGGCCUUCAUCACCUCAAUCAUGCAACCGUGCAGUGUUAGGAAGACAUUUCUAAUUGCUUUGUGGUUAUAGUUUUCAUAUUCAUUCUUAACAUUGGCAAUUAAGUCAUUCAUAUUGUUAGAGAUCAUUGUGUAUGUUAAUGACUGUAGAGAUGCAAAGAACCCCAGAUCUAAGACAUUCGUAUCAGGGGAGUUAGGGGGCUGGUUCAUGAGGUAGAUAUUGAGCCCAAUGUAGGCUACUGCUCGUGCAAAUUGCUCAUCAUUAACCGGGAUACGAGUCCUAGCAUUGUCCUGCUGAAUCCAAAUAGUUUGGUGGCAUUGAUCUCGAGACCAACGAUCUCUAAUUGCUGGCAGGAGUUUAGUAAUCAUAUAGGACCUUAUUGUGGCUCUAUCAACCUUCAUUGUCUUGUUCACUGGUGUCCCCUUGGUCUGUUACCACUUCUUCUUUUUGUUGGUUCCUACAAAAAUUGACAAACAUGUUAGCUUCGAAAGCAAACCAUAGAAACUAAUUGAAGCAAAAAAAAGCACAUAAAUUCAGGUACCUCUCUUAUAAAAGGCCAUAUGCCUAGUUUGCCAUCAAAUGUGCAGUUCCCUUCAUUAUCAUACUGAGGAUUGGCUACUACACAGAAGAACAUUACCUUUUCAAUGUAAUUCUUGUUUUGCACAGUCCUAUGUGGGUCCUCUUCAUCAUGAGUCAUGCAGUAGGUCACAUCUUUUCUUAUGCCGUUGAACCACUUCUCAUCUUGGUGUAUGAUGUUCUUCAUUUCAUUGAACUUUGGCUGAGUUUGCAAUGUACGCUGAUCUAACAUUAAAACACACCACCGCAGCCUUUCCUUUUUAUUUUCUUCCUUUAAAUAUGGCUUCAAUGUUUUGGAGUGCCGUCUUAGGAACCCAUCUUUGAACAUCUUAUGUACUGUGGUUUUUUUCAUACCUAGAGCUUGAGCUAGAGACCUUAUGGUCCACCUUCUGUGCAAUGGAAUGGUCUCUACUUGUGAGGUGUUGAUUUCAACCUUUUUGCGGCCACAAUUCUUGGGCUUUCUUGAACUAAUAUCAACCGACACUCCAUUAGCACGACAUUGUUUUUCUUGUCACCAAAUAUGCCACACUGCAUGUCGAUUGACAUUAAAUAAUUUAGCAACCUCAGUUGUAGUGUUUCUCUUUAGUUUUCCUUGGUUGCUUUUCUCCAGCAAUGCUUCAUAUAUCUGUUGCCUUUGAGUUGUAGAAUGAUCCUUUGAUGUUGUCCUAAAAUUUUCAUUUGCUGGUUCAUAAUCUUUAUCACUGGAGUCAGAUAACUCUUCCUGAUCAAAGACGAUGUCCACCUCAUUGGCAUAGACGCCAUACCCAUGCAUUUCCUCCAUGGUUGGGAUGUAGUCAUCAUUAACUAAAAAAAAUGUGCUAAUUGUGUUCAUCUAGAACUAAACAAAUGCACAUCCAUUUAUUGUUUGAUGGAUUAGUUUAACUUGUUUUUAAUCAUCGUAAUCUACAUUUGUGGAAUGUGAAAUUUAUUAAGAACUGAUAGCUAAAUGUACAUUACUCGUAUAUUUUGCAGGAACUUCUCUACUGGACAUGGUACUAAAUGCAGUGUGGGCACUGGAUGGAGGUACUGUGUACGUAAUUCUUCAUCAUAAAGUCUCUACUGAACAUGCUAAUAAAUGCAGUAAUAUUGUGUAUGUUCAUGGUGGUAAGAGAAGAACCACAUUGACCCACUAAUUCAUCAAGAAAUAAACCUUGAAUAUGAGAUAAAUUAUGUCUAGUACAAUCUGAUUAUGUGCUAUAGCUUUCAAUACAAUGUCAUAUAGUCCUUUGAUUAAGUAACUCUACAUUGAAUUUAUUCCUGAGCAUGC
This 2809-nucleotide long non-coding RNA is filed under the name Setaria italica (foxtail millet). RNAcentral's name for it is "long non-coding RNA (SITA_LNC003459)". Lineage: Eukaryota; Viridiplantae; Streptophyta; Magnoliopsida; Poales; Poaceae. The record is from RNAcentral.